AGAGUUUGAUCAUGGCUCAGAUUGAACGCUGGCGGCAGGCCUAACACAUGCAAGUCGAACGGCAGCGGGAAGUAGCUUGCUACUUUGCCGGCGAGUGGCGGACGGGUGAGUAAUGUCUGGGAAACUGCCCGAUGGAGGGGGAUAACUACUGGAAACGGUAGCUAAUACCGCAUGACGUCUUCGGACCAAAGAGGGGGACCUUAGGGCCUCUUGCCAUCGGAUGUGCCCAGAUGGGAUUAGCUAGUAGGCGGGGUAAUGGCCCACCUAGGCGACGAUCCCUAGCUGGUCUGAGAGGAUGACCAGCCACACUGGGACUGAGACACGGCCCAGACUCCUACGGGAGGCAGCA
RNAcentral lists this ribosomal RNA (349 nucleotides) under uncultured Leminorella sp. Its description in RNAcentral is "bacterial SSU rRNA". It matches the Rfam family "Bacterial small subunit ribosomal RNA", at positions 8 to 353 of the family's 1533-position model. The record is from RNAcentral. Lineage: Bacteria; Pseudomonadati; Pseudomonadota; Gammaproteobacteria; Enterobacterales; Budviciaceae.